GGUACUUUAGGAAUCUUAUUUAGUAUCAUUUAAAUUGGGGGAGGAGGGAAGAUGUUUUACUGCUAGCUUCAUUUUAUUUAUUUUUAUUUUUAUUUUUUUAAGUUUUUUUGAGAUGGAGUCUCACUCUGUUGCAGUGAGCCGAGAUUGUGCCACUGCACUCCAGCCUGGGCGACAGAGCAAGACUCCGUCUAAAAAAAAAAAAAAGAUAUUAAAAUUAAUGACAGGAAGAGUUUGGGUUCAGUUAUAAUUUAAGGGAAAAAACAUUGAGGGGCCUAAUCUACAUUUUGCUCCGGAUCCAAUGAUUUAAUUUUUGGGAAGAAAAAUCCAGUGAUUAAAGUCAUGCAAGGAGAUGGCCUGGGGCUUGCUAAAAGUCAGGUUGCAGUUUCCAUUGCAUUCAAGAAAAUCAGAAAAAUAAAUACAACUUUUAGAAGAAACUAAGUUUUCUCCCAUUCAUGUUUAGCUAUUGGGGGGUCUCAUACUUCUGGACUUGCUUAGACCUAUGCUAUCUAAUAUGGUAGCCUCUGCCCAUCCAUAUGUGGCCACUGAGAACUUGAAAUGUGACUAGUUUGAAUUAAGAUGUGCUGUAACUAAAAUACACCCUGGAUUUCAAAGACUUAAUAAAUAAUGUAAAU
RNAcentral lists this long non-coding RNA (632 nucleotides) under Homo sapiens (human). Its description in RNAcentral is "non-protein coding lnc-MCTS1-1:1". The record is from RNAcentral. Lineage: Eukaryota; Metazoa; Chordata; Mammalia; Primates; Hominidae.